AUUGAACGCUGGCGGCAGGCCUAACACAUGCAAGUCGAGCGGAUGAAGGGAGCUUGCUCCUGGAUUCAGCGGCGGACGGGUGAGUAAUGCCUAGGAAUCUGCCUGGUAGUGGGGGAUAACGUCCGGAAACGGGCGCUAAUACCGCAUACGUCCUGAGGGAGAAAGUGGGGGAUCUUCGGACCUCACGCUAUCAGAUGAGCCUAGGUCGGAUUAGCUAGUUGGUGGGGUAAAGGCCUACCAAGGCGACGAUCCGUAACUGGUCUGAGAGGAUGAUCAGUCACACUGGAACUGAGACACGGUCCAGACUACUACGGGAGGCAGCAGUGGGGAAUAUUGGACAAUGGGCGAAAGCCGGAUCCAGCCAUGCCGCGUGUGUGAAGAAGGUCUUCGGAUUGUAAAGCACUUUAAGUUGGGAGGAAGGGCAGUAAGUUAAUACCUUGCUGUUUUGACGUUACCAACAGAAUAGGCACCGGCUAACUUCG
Molecule: ribosomal RNA, 482 nt
Filed under: uncultured bacterium
Lineage: Bacteria
Description: partial 16S ribosomal RNA
Rfam family: Bacterial small subunit ribosomal RNA
Source: RNAcentral